UCGUAGGUCAGCAUACUACGGUGAAUACGUUCCCGGGCCUUGUACACACCGCCCGUCAAACCAUGAGAGUUGGCAACACCCGAAGUCGGUAGUCUAACCGCAAGGAGGACGCCGCCGAAGGUGGGGUUGAUGAUUAGGGUUAAGUCGUAACAAGGUAAC
Molecule: ribosomal RNA, 159 nt
Filed under: uncultured bacterium
Lineage: Bacteria
Description: partial 16S ribosomal RNA
Rfam family: Bacterial small subunit ribosomal RNA
Source: RNAcentral